RNAcentral lists this ribosomal RNA (262 nucleotides) under Rhizobium sp. Sh19351. RNAcentral's name for it is "partial 16S ribosomal RNA". It matches the Rfam family "Bacterial small subunit ribosomal RNA", at positions 52 to 344 of the family's 1533-position model. Lineage: Bacteria; Pseudomonadati; Pseudomonadota; Alphaproteobacteria; Hyphomicrobiales; Rhizobiaceae. The record is from RNAcentral.
CACAUGCAAGUCGAGCGCCCCGCAAGGGGAGCGGCAGACGGGUGAGUAACGCGUGGGAACGUACCCUUUACUACGGAAUAACGCAGGGAAACUUGUGCUAAUACCGUAUGUGCCCUUCGGGGGAAAGAUUUAUCGGUAAGGGAUCGGCCCGCGUUGGAUUAGCUAGUUGGUGGGGUAAAGGCCUACCAAGGCGACGAUCCAUAGCUGGUCUGAGAGGAUGAUCAGCCACAUUGGGACUGANACACGGCCCAAACUCCUACGG